AUUGAACGCUGGCGGCAGGCCUAACACAUGCAAGUCGAGCGGAUGAAGGGAGCUUGCUCCUGGAUUCAGCGGCGGACGGGUGAGUAAUGCCUAGGAAUCUGCCUGGUAGUGGGGGAUAACGUCCGGAAACGGGCGCUAAUACCGCAUACGUCCUGAGGGAGAAAGUGGGGGAUCUUCGGACCUCACGCUAUCAGAUGAGCCUAGGUCGGAUUAGCUAGUUGGUGGGGUAAGGGCCUACCAAGGCGACGAUCCGUAACUGGUCUGAGAGGAUGAUCAGUCACACUGGAACUGAGACACGGUCCAGACUCCUACGGGAGGCAGCAGUGGGGAAUAUUGGACAAAGGGCGAAAGCCUGAUCCAGCCAUGCCGCGUGUGUGAAGAAGGUCUUCGGAUUGUAAAGCACUUUAAGUUGGGAGGAAGGGCAGUAAGUCAAUACCUUGCUGUUUUGACGUUACCAACAGAAUAAGCACCGGCUAACUUCGUG
Molecule: ribosomal RNA, 484 nt
Filed under: uncultured bacterium
Lineage: Bacteria
Description: partial 16S ribosomal RNA
Rfam family: Bacterial small subunit ribosomal RNA
Source: RNAcentral